UGCAGUCGAACGAUGAAGCUUCUAGCUUGCUAGAAGUGGAUUAGUGGCGCACGGGUGAGUAAGGUAUAGUUAAUCUGCCCUACACAAGAGGACAACAGUUGGAAACGACUGCUAAUACUCUAUACUCCUGCUUAACACAAGUUGAGCAGGGAAAGUUUUUCGGUGUAGGAUGAGACUAUAUAGUAUCAGCUAGUUGGUAAGGUAAUGGCUUACCAAGGCUAUGACGCUUAACUGGUCUGAGAGGAUGAUCAGUCACACUGGAACUGAGACACGGUCCAGACUCCUACGGGAGGCAGCAGUAGGGAAUAUUGCGCAAUGGGGGAAACCCUGACGCAGCAACGCCGCGUGGAGGAUGACACUUUUCGGAGCGUAAACUCCUUUUCUUAGGGAAGAAUUCUGACGGUACCUAAGGAAUAAGCACCGGCUAACUCCGUGCCAGCAGCCGCGGUAAUACGGAGGGUGCAAGCGUUACUCGGAAUCACUGGGCGUAAAGGGCGCGUANGCGGAUUAUCAAGUCUCUUGUGAAAUCUAAUGGCUUAACCAUUAAACUGCUUGGGAAACUGAUAGUCUAGAGUGAGGGAGAGGCAGAUGGAAUUGGUGGUGUAGGGGUAAAAUCCGUAGAUAUCACCAAGAAUACCCAUUGCGAAGGCGAUCUGCUGGAACUCAACUGACGCUAANGCGCGAAAGCGUNNNNNNCAAACAGGAUUAGAUACCCUGGUAGUCCACGCCCUAAACGAUGUACACUANUUGUUGGGAUGCUNNUCAUCUCANUAAUGCAGCUAACNCAUUA
This 790-nucleotide ribosomal RNA is filed under the name Campylobacter jejuni. RNAcentral describes it as "bacterial SSU rRNA". It matches the Rfam family "Bacterial small subunit ribosomal RNA", at positions 56 to 862 of the family's 1533-position model. The record is from RNAcentral. Lineage: Bacteria; Pseudomonadati; Campylobacterota; Epsilonproteobacteria; Campylobacterales; Campylobacteraceae.